Molecule: ribosomal RNA, 272 nt
Filed under: uncultured bacterium
Lineage: Bacteria
Description: partial 16S ribosomal RNA
Rfam family: Bacterial small subunit ribosomal RNA
Source: RNAcentral
CCCGCCGGCGACCGGCGAACGGGUGAGUAACACGUAUGCAACCUGGCCGCCACAGGGGGAUAACCCGCGGAAACGCGGCCUAAUACCCCGUGACGCCACCGGAGGGCAUCCUCCGGUGGCCAAAGGAGCGAUCCGGUGGCGGAUGGGCAUGCGGCGCAUUAGCUAGACGGCGGGGUGACGGCCCACCGUGGCGACGAUGCGUAGGGGUUCUGAGAGGAAGGCCCCCCACACUGGGACUGAGACACGGCCCAGACUCCUACGGGAGGCAGCAG